AGUCGGGCAAUCGCUUCGUGUUAUGCACGGAGAGGAAAGUCCGGACACCAACAAACACCGCGCUUUGCGAUCCUUCGGGCGUAGCAAAGGCUUGGUUAGGGUGACUUAAUCAAGAUAGACAGUGCAACAGAAAGCAAACCGCCUCACUUGUUGAGGUAAGGGUGAAAAGGUGAGGUAAGAGCUCACCGUUCCUUGUAGCGAUACAGGAAGCUAGGUAAACCUCGCGGGGUGCAAGUUCAUGCAGGUGGUAUACGCCGUUUGUCGUGACGUCGCCGGGUGGAACGCACUAGAUAAAUGAUUGCCGAAUCUCGAAUUUCGAGAGGAACAAAAUCCGGCUUAUAGACUUUCCU
RNAcentral lists this RNase P RNA (350 nucleotides) under Ochromonas sp. CCMP1393. RNAcentral's name for it is "Bacterial RNase P class A". It matches the Rfam family "Bacterial RNase P class A". From Rfam's summary of the family: Ribonuclease P (RNase P) is a ubiquitous endoribonuclease, found in archaea, bacteria and eukarya as well as chloroplasts and mitochondria. Its best characterised activity is the generation of mature 5'-ends of tRNAs by cleaving the 5'-leader elements of precursor-tRNAs. The record is from RNAcentral. Lineage: Eukaryota; Chrysophyceae; Chromulinales; Chromulinaceae.